CUACGGGGGGCUCCAGUAAGGAAUAUUGCGCAAUGGAGGCAACUCUGACGCAGCCAUGCCGCGUGCAGGAAGAAGGCCUUAUGGGUCGUAAACUGCUUUUAUUUAGGAAUAAACCCUCGCUCGUGAGCGAGGCUGAAGGUACUGAAUGAAUAAGCACCGGCUAACUCCGUGCCAGCAGCCGCGGUAAUACGGAGGGUGCAAGCGUUAUCCGGAUUUAUUGGGUUUAAAGGGUGCGCAGGCGGGCUAUUAAGUCAGUGGUGAAAUCCCGGGGCUCAACUCCGGAACUGCCAUUGAUACUGAUAGUCUUGAGUUUGGUUGAAGUGGGCGGAAUGUAGCAUGUAGCGUUGAAAUGCAUAGAUAUGCUACAGAACACCAAUCGCGAAGGCAGCUCACUAAGCCAAAACUGACGCUCAUGCACGAAAGCGUGGGGAUCAAACAGGAUUAGAUACCCCUGUAGUC
This 459-nucleotide ribosomal RNA is filed under the name uncultured bacterium. RNAcentral describes it as "partial 16S ribosomal RNA". It matches the Rfam family "Bacterial small subunit ribosomal RNA", at positions 339 to 795 of the family's 1533-position model. The record is from RNAcentral.